CCUACGGGAGGCAGCAGUGAGGAAUAUUGGUCAAUGGGCGCGAGCCUGAACCAGCCAAGUCGCGUGAGGGAGGACGGCCCUACGGGUUGUAAACCUCUUUUGCCGGGGAGCAACGGGCGCCACGUGUGGCGCCACUGAGAGUACCCGGAGAAAAAGCAUCGGCUAACUCCGUGCCAGCAGCCGCGGUAAUAGGGGGGAUGCGGGCAUUAUCCGGAUUUAUUGGGUUUAAAGGGUGCUUAGGCGGAUCGUUAAGUCAGUGGGCAAGUUGGGGGGUUAAACCCCGUCCCGCCGUGGAAACUGGCGUGCUGGAGUGGAAGAGAAGUAUGCGGAAUGCGUGGUGUAGCGGUGAAAUGCAUAGAUAUCACGCAGAACCCCGAUGGCGAAGGCAGCAUGCCGGCUUCCGACUGACGCUGAAGCACGAAAGCGUGGGGAUCGAACAGGAUUAGAUACCCGUGUAGUC
This 460-nucleotide ribosomal RNA is filed under the name uncultured bacterium. RNAcentral's name for it is "partial 16S ribosomal RNA". It matches the Rfam family "Bacterial small subunit ribosomal RNA", at positions 338 to 795 of the family's 1533-position model. The record is from RNAcentral.